This 253-nucleotide ribosomal RNA is filed under the name uncultured bacterium. Its description in RNAcentral is "partial 16S ribosomal RNA". It matches the Rfam family "Bacterial small subunit ribosomal RNA", at positions 524 to 776 of the family's 1533-position model. The record is from RNAcentral.
UACAGAGGGGCAAGCGUUAUUCGGAAUUAUUGGGCGUAAAGGGCGCGUAGGCGGCUUUGCAAGUGGCGGGUGAAAUCCCUCGGCUUAACCGAGGAACUGCCUGCCAGACUGUGAGGCUUGAGACCGGGAGAGGUGAGUGGAAUUCCCAGUGUAGCGGUGAAAUGCGUAGAUAUUGGGAGGAACACCAGUGGCGAAGGCGGCUCACUGGACCGGAACUGACGCUGAGGCGCGAAAAGCGUGGGGAGCAAACAGG